Ipomoea nil (Japanese morning glory) is the source of this 722-nucleotide long non-coding RNA. RefSeq lists it as uncharacterized. The record is from RefSeq and is a predicted model, not a curated record. The transcript is spliced from 2 exons. Lineage: Eukaryota; Viridiplantae; Streptophyta; Magnoliopsida; Solanales; Convolvulaceae.
CAUCAGCAGCCAAACAACACCCCUUUCCCAUCUCUCUCUAGUGAAGACCACCGGCGACAAUGGUGGUGGCCGACGACAUACGCCGGCAAGCGGCGGUGGACGGUAGUGAUCUCCUCCCUCCUGACCUCUCUCUCUCUCUCUCUCUCUCUCUCUCGUCACUUUGUCUCCCUCUCCCUCUUUUUUUUUGACGAAAGCAGCAGAUCGGAGCAGACGAGCGGCGAUCUUCCUCUGGCAAGCACGGUCAGCAGCGGCGGCGGAUGAGCGACGGCAACCUCCUCUCCCCUCCGAUAGUAUAGCGGCAGAUCGGGUGUCUCCAAUUUAGUACGAGCAGAUCUGGAGGUGGAUGGUCAUGGCUAUGAUUUCUGGCGACGAGCAUCUUCGGCGACCUUGCUCCGGCGACAACGGACGGCGGACGGCAUGGAUGGCUCCAUUCCGGCAUGAGCUCUAACGGCAGGGAUGAGGAGAUGAAAUUAGUGGCUUGCUUUGAGAGCGCGGUGUAGAGUUCGUAUGCCUUGUAAUAGAAUUUGUACCCUGAGAAUUGCUUAUGGUAUAGUUGAAUGGAUUAGAACCUAGACUGUUUUAUAGUUAGUUAUAAUUGGAUUAUUCAACCUUGUAUUUGGAUUGUAGAUAGAAACUUUGUAGCCUGUGCAUUUGGGUUAGAAUAACCCAAGUGUGGCAUAACACCCCUUGUUGUUGGUUUAGUUUCCGCAUAUUUUGAGAAA